GGGUUGUGAGGUUAAGCGACUAAGCGUACACGGUGGAUGCCCUGGCAGUCAGAGGCGAUGAAGGACGUGCUAAUCUGCGAUAAGCGUCGGUAAGGUGAUAUGAACCGUUAUAACCGGCGAUUUCCGAAUGGGGAAACCCAGUGUGAUUCGUCACACUAUCAUUAACUGAAUCCAUAGGUUAAUGAGGCGAACCGGGGGAACUGAAACAUCUAAGUACCCCGAGGAAAAGAAAUCAACCGAGAUUCCCCCAGUAGCGGCGAGCGAACGGGGAGGAGCCCAGAGCCUGAAUCAGUGUGUGUGUUAGUGGAAGCGUCUGGAAAGGCGCGCGAUACAGGGUGACAGCCCCGUACACAAAAAUGCACAUACUGUGAGCUCGAUGAGUAGGGCGGGACACGUGGUAUCCUGUCUGAAUAUGGGGGGACCAUCCUCCAAGGCUAAAUACUCCUGACUGACCGAUAGUGAACCAGUACCGUGAGGGAAAGGCGAAAAGAACCCCGGCGAGGGGAGUGAAAAAGAACCUGAAACCGUGUACGUACAAGCAGUGGGAGCCUCUUUUAUGGGGUGACUGCGUACCUUUUGUAUAAUGGGUCAGCGACUUAUAUUCUGUAGCAAGGUUAACCGAAUAGGGGAGCCGAAGGGAAACCGAGUCUUAACUGGGCGUUAAGUUGCAGGGUAUAGACCCGAAACCCGGUGAUCUAGCCAUGGGCAGGUUGAAGGUUGGGUAACACUAACUGGAGGACCGAACCGACUAAUGUUGAAAAAUUAGCGGAUGACUUGUGGCUGGGGGUGAAAGGCCAAUCAAACCGGGAGAUAGCUGGUUCUCCCCGAAAGCUAUUUAGGUAGCGCCUCGUGAAUUCAUCUCCGGGGGUAGAGCACUGUUUCGGCAAGGGGGUCAUCCCGACUUACCAACCCGAUGCAAACUGCGAAUACCGGAGAAUGUUAUCACGGGAGACACACGGCGGGUGCUAACGUCCGUCGUGAAGAGGGAAACAACCCAGACCGCCAGCUAAGGUCCCAAAGUCAUGGUUAAGUGGGAAACGAUGUGGGAAGGCCCAGACAGCCAGGAUGUUGGCUUAGAAGCAGCCAUCAUUUAAAGAAAGCGUAAUAGCUCACUGGUCGAGUCGGCCUGCGCGGAAGAUGUAACGGGGCUAAACCAUGCACCGAAGCUGCGGCAGCGACGCUUAUGCGUUGUUGGGUAGGGGAGCGUUCUGUAAGCCUGUGAAGGUGUACUGUGAGGUAUGCUGGAGGUAUCAGAAGUGCGAAUGCUGACAUAAGUAACGAUAAAGCGGGUGAAAAGCCCGCUCGCCGGAAGACCAAGGGUUCCUGUCCAACGUUAAUCGGGGCAGGGUGAGUCGACCCCUAAGGCGAGGCCGAAAGGCGUAGUCGAUGGGAAACAGGUUAAUAUUCCUGUACUUGGUGUUACUGCGAAGGGGGGACGGAGAAGGCUAUGUUGGCCGGGCGACGGUUGUCCCGGUUUAAGCGUGUAGGCUGGUUUUCCAGGCAAAUCCGGAAAAUCAAGGCUGAGGCGUGAUGACGAGGCACUACGGUGCUGAAGCAACAAAUGCCCUGCUUCCAGGAAAAGCCUCUAAGCAUCAGGUAACAUUAAAUCGUACCCCAAACCGACACAGGUGGUCAGGUAGAGAAUACCAAGGCGCUUGAGAGAACUCGGGUGAAGGAACUAGGCAAAAUGGUGCCGUAACUUCGGGAGAAGGCACGCUGAUAUGUAGGUGAAGCGACUUGCUCGUGGAGCUGAAAUCAGUCGAAGAUACCAGCUGGCUGCAACUGUUUAUUAAAAACACAGCACUGUGCAAACACGAAAGUGGACGUAUACGGUGUGACGCCUGCCCGGUGCCGGAAGGUUAAUUGAUGGGGUUAGCGGUAACGCGAAGCUCUUGAUCGAAGCCCCGGUAAACGGCGGCCGUAACUAUAACGGUCCUAAGGUAGCGAAAUUCCUUGUCGGGUAAGUUCCGACCUGCACGAAUGGCGUAAUGAUGGCCAGGCUGUCUCCACCCGAGACUCAGUGAAAUUGAACUCGCUGUGAAGAUGCAGUGUACCCGCGGCAAGACGGAAAGACCCCGUGAACCUUUACUAUAGCUUGACACUGAACAUUGAGCCUUGAUGUGUAGGAUAGGUGGGAGGCUUUGAAGUGUGGACGCCAGUCUGCAUGGAGCCGGCCUUGAAAUACCACCCUUUAAUGUUUGAUGUUCUAACGUUGGCCCCUGACCGGGGUUGCGGACAGUGUCUGGUGGGUAGUUUGACUGGGGCGGUCUCCUCCUAAAGAGUAACGGAGGAGCACGAAGGUUGGCUAAUCCUGGUCGGACAUCAGGAGGUUAGUGCAAUGGCAUAAGCCAGCUUGACUGCGAGCGUGACGGCGCGAGCAGGUGCGAAAGCAGGUCAUAGUGAUCCGGUGGUUCUGAAUGGAAGGGCCAUCGCUCAACGGAUAAAAGGUACUCCGGGGAUAACAGGCUGAUACCGCCCAAGAGUUCAUAUCGACGGCGGUGUUUGGCACCUCGAUGUCGGCUCAUCACAUCCUGGGGCUGAAGUAGGUCCCAAGGGUAUGGCUGUUCGCCAUUUAAAGUGGUACGCGAGCUGGGUUUAGAACGUCGUGAGACAGUUCGGUCCCUAUCUGCCGUGGGCGCUGGAGAACUGAGGGGGGCUGCUCCUAGUACGAGAGGACCGGAGUGGACGCAUCACUGGUGUUCGGGUUGUCAUGCCAAUGGCACUGCCCGGUAGCUAAAUGCGGAAGAGAUAAGUGCUGAAAGCAUCUAAGCACGAAACUUGCCCCGAGAUGAGUUCUCCCUGA
Molecule: ribosomal RNA, 2803 nt
Filed under: Escherichia coli
Lineage: Bacteria; Pseudomonadati; Pseudomonadota; Gammaproteobacteria; Enterobacterales; Enterobacteriaceae
Description: partial 23S ribosomal RNA
Rfam family: Bacterial large subunit ribosomal RNA
Source: RNAcentral